RNAcentral lists this non-coding RNA (28 nucleotides) under Bombyx mori (domestic silkworm). The record is from RNAcentral. Lineage: Eukaryota; Metazoa; Arthropoda; Insecta; Lepidoptera; Bombycidae.
UGAUAAUGCAAAUGACGUAAGAGAUGGA